AUGGAAACCUCGGGGUGCCGGACUGUCACGCGCGGCCGGCUGAGAUGCCAUAGGGCGAACCCGUUGAACCUGAACCGGUUGACACCGGCGGAGGGAAGGGCGCGCAAGACCGG
This 113-nucleotide non-coding RNA is filed under the name Salipiger mucosus. RNAcentral describes it as "TPP sequence". It matches the Rfam family "TPP riboswitch aptamer (THI element)". Rfam says of the family: Vitamin B(1) in its active form thiamin pyrophosphate (TPP) is an essential coenzyme that is synthesised by coupling of pyrimidine and thiazole moieties in bacteria. The previously detected thiamin-regulatory element, thi box was extended, resulting in a new, highly conserved RNA secondary structure, the THI element, which is widely distributed in eubacteria and also occurs in some archaea. Analysis of operon structures identified a large number of new candidate thiamin-regulated genes, mostly transporters, in various prokaryotic organisms. Lineage: Bacteria; Pseudomonadati; Pseudomonadota; Alphaproteobacteria; Rhodobacterales; Roseobacteraceae. The record is from RNAcentral. RNAcentral also lists the same sequence under 1 other name.